Vombatus ursinus (common wombat) is the source of this 1839-nucleotide long non-coding RNA. Lineage: Eukaryota; Metazoa; Chordata; Mammalia; Diprotodontia; Vombatidae. The record is from Ensembl.
CUGCCGCCGACGCCGCCGUCGCCAUCUUGGGUCGGUCUGUUCCCUUCCGAGCUGCCGAGAAUCCUUCCGCUGCCCCGGCUCCCGGCCCCGGCCGCGCCGAGGGGCACUGUCGGGGCCUCUCGGCGGAUCCCGGGGCGGGGGGGCCGGGGGGGGGGGGGGUGGGGAAGGGGGGGGGCUGUGAAGCUGCGGGCGGUUCCGGCUCGUGGGGGAGGAAAAAGUCCCUCAGGCGAGGUGGCGGAAAGGUACUAGGGAAGGUAAACAAAAGCCGGAUCUUCUUGAGCCUGUAGCUGGUCGUGCACGUUUAAAAGCCAGAGCUGCGCAGGCGCCCUGAAGGAGCCAGGAAGCGAGAGGGCCAGGGAUAGGGAGGGGAGAGGCGGGGCCAGGGAUAGGGAGGGGAGAGGCGGGGCCAGGCCGGGAGAAAGGGGCGGGGGCAGCGGGAGGAGGCCAGAAGAGAGGGGCGGGGCGAAGGGGAUGGAAGACUGAGAGAAGGGGAGGGAGGAGGAGGAAGGAGGGAUCCCCGGGAUAAGGGAGAGUGCAGCCAGCCUGCUUUCCUGGGCCCUGCAGUGACAGUGUGGCCCCCACGGUGGGAAUAGGGGAGGCAGGAAACCUGGGUUCAGGGCCCCUCCUCUCAGUGUCUCCUCUCCAGUUUGUGCAGGCUAAUACUAAAAUAUCUGGAGUGAAGAAUGAAUGGAGGAAGGAAGGAAGGAAUGAAUGAAUAAAGGCCAGGCAACCAGCAAAACGACAGAUUAUGCAGUGGUCCCAACUGGCUGGCUGAGGAGCUUCAGUGGGCCUCAACCCACACCCGAUUCCCAGCCAGCCUCUUGGGCCCUUCCGACCCACCAAAGGCACAGCUAGUCUGAGGAGAAGUCAGCUCCCCGACGGUCCCAGUCCGCCCAGGCCCAAGAAACACACGGGAGGCAAGAUGAGCACAGGCCAAAGACAGGGGCGUUUAUAAGACAUCAAAUAUACAUUCUUAUGUACAACAAAGAGAAGAAAAAGAACAGACCAGGCCCAACCAAGACAAUGAGGCCCCUCCCUCAGACUUUGGCCCAGCACUUUUCCAGCCCCAUCUGUGCAGAGAAGGGACUGGGCCCCUUGUCCACUCCCUGUAGGCAACUGGGGCCAGGUAGGCAGGGAAGAUCGGCAAGGACUGCAGGGACAUGCGGGCAGGAAGGGAGCAAGAGGACAGGCAGAACAUGUCCUAGGAGCAUCCAAGGCCAACCCAGGAGGUGGGGAAGAUCUCCCCCAACCCCGUCACUUGGACAUCACCAGAAUCACUUCCCUGGAAAAUUGGAGUGGAAAGAGAGAAUGGGAAAGAAGGACAGACGGACAGACAGAAGGAGCAGAGACAGAGGGGGCUCAUGUCUCGCCAUUGUUCCUUCCCAGAAGGGGCAGCUAGGGGUUGGACAGGCACAGGUUCCUGUAAGGGAAGACCUUUCUAACCCUUCAGACGUUGGAGACUUGCUCGUAUGGCUGGAUCGUAUGGCUGUUGUCCCAAGGCACAGACUGGCUGAGUUGAGAGAGAUUCAUUACUUAUUUGCUUACGGGAGAAAUUUUUCAGCCCAAACUCUAAUGUCUGUCUGUCUGUCUGUCUGUCUGUGUGUGUGUGUGUCUCUCUCCUCUCCCCACGCUCUUUCUCUCUCCUUCUCUAUCUCUUUUUUUCUUCUCUCUUUUCUCUGUCUCUCCUCUCUCUUCCUCUCUCUCUCUCAUCUAUCUAUAUGGAUAUCUGUAUCUAGAUAUGUAUAUCUAUAUGUAUAUGUCUGUAUAUCUUUCUAUCUGUCUGCUGUAGAGGGUCUGAAAUCCAUACUGGUGGAGACCCAGCUCAUGACAGACCCUUAG